This 453-nucleotide ribosomal RNA is filed under the name uncultured bacterium. RNAcentral's name for it is "bacterial SSU rRNA". It matches the Rfam family "Bacterial small subunit ribosomal RNA", at positions 29 to 528 of the family's 1533-position model. The record is from RNAcentral.
AACGAACGCUGGCGGCAGGCUUAACACAUGCAAGUCGCGCGGUCAGCAAUGGCAGCGGCGGACGGGUGAGUAACGCGUAGGAAUGUAUCCAGAGGUGGGGGACAACCCCGGGAAACUGGGGCUAAUACCGCAUAUGUGCUGAGGCACAAAGCAGUAAUGCGCCUUUGGAGCAGCCUGCGUCCGAUUAGGUAGUUGGUGGGGUAAUGGCCUACCAAGCCUGCGAUCGGUAGCUGGUCUGAGAGGACGAUCAGCCACACUGGGACUGAGACACGGCCCAGACUCCUACGGGAGGCAGCAGUGGGGAAUAUUGGACAAUGGGCGAAAGCCUGAUCCAGCCAUGCCGCGUGAGUGAUGAAGGCCCUAGGGUUGUAAAGCUCUUUUGUGCGGGAAGAUAAUGACGGUACCGCAAGAAUAAGCCCCGGCUAACUCGUGCCAGCAGCCGCGGUAAUCUGA